Molecule: transfer RNA, 19 nt
Filed under: Scarelus anthracinus
Lineage: Eukaryota; Metazoa; Arthropoda; Insecta; Coleoptera; Lycidae
Description: partial tRNA-Ser
Source: RNAcentral
UUUUCUUGAACAUUUCUUU